RNAcentral lists this unclassified non-coding RNA (346 nucleotides) under soil metagenome. RNAcentral describes it as "partial contains 5.8S ribosomal RNA, internal transcribed spacer 2, and large subunit ribosomal RNA". The stretch from base 1 to 119 matches the Rfam family "5.8S ribosomal RNA", at positions 35 to 154 of the family's 154-position model. The record is from RNAcentral.
GAUGAAGAACGCUGCAAAAUGCGAUAAGUAAUGUGAAUUGCAGAAUUCAGUGAAUCAUCGAAUCUUUGAACGCACAUUGCGCCCGCUGUAUUCCGGCGGGCAUGCCUGUUCGAGCGUCAUUUCAACCCUCAAACCCCCCGGGUUUGGUGUUGGGGAUCGGCUCUGCCUCACGGCGGUGCCGCCCCCGAAAUACAUUGGCGGUCUCGCUGCAGCCUCCAUUGCGUAGUAGCUAACACCUCGCAACUGGAACGCGGCGCGGCCAUGCCGUAAAACCCCAACUUCUGAAUGUUGACCUCGGAUCAGGUAGGAAUACCCGCUGAACUUAAGCAUAUCAAUAAGCGGAGGA